GAGGGGCAGCAUGAUGGUAGCAAUACUAUUGAUGGCGACCGGCGGACGGGUGCGUAGCGCGUAUGCAACCUACCUUAUACAGGGGGAUAACCUUCCGAAAGGGAGACUAACACCGCAUAAUAUUUUUGAUAGGCAUCUAUUAGGGAUUAAAUGAGAAAUCAGGUAUAAGAUGGGCAUGCGUAGCAUUAGUUAGAUGGUGAGGUAACGGCUCACCAUGGCGAUGAUGCUUAGGGGUUCUGAGAGGAAGGUCCCCCACACCGGUACUGAGAUACGGACCGGACUCCUACGGGAGGCAGCAGUGAGGAAUAUUGGUCAAUGGGCGAGAGCCUGAACCAGCCAUGCCGCGUGCAGGAAGACAGUCCUAUGGAUUGUAAACUGCUUUUGCUUGAGAGUAAUAAAUAGGUUGCGACCUAUGAUGCAAGUAUCGAGCGAAUAAGGAUCGGCUAACUCCGUGCCAGCAGCCGCGGUAAUACGGAGGAUUCGAGCGUUAUCCGGAUUUAUUGGGUUUAAAGGGUGCGUAAGCGGCACGAUAAGUUUGAGGUCAAAGGCUAUUGCUUAACAAUGGUACGCCUUGAAAACUGUCGAGCUAGGAAGUAAACGGCGCAGGCGGAAUGAAUCAAGUAGCGGUGACAUGCAUAGAUAUGAUUCAGAACACCGAUCGCGAAGGCAGCUUGCGAGGAUACGAUUGACGCUGAUGCACGAAAGCGUGGGUAUCGAACAGGAUUAGAUACCCUGGUAGUCCACGCUGUAAACGAUGAUAACUAGAUGUUGGCGAUAUACAGUCAGUGUCGGAGCGAAAGUGCUAAGUUAUCCACCUGGGGAGUACGAUCGCAAGGUUGAAACUCAAAGGAAUUGACGGGGGCCCGCACAAGCGGAGGAGCAUGUGGUUUAAUUCGAUGAUACGCGAGGAACCUUACCCGAACUUGAACGUAUAGUGAAUAAUUUAAGAGAUUAGAUUAGUUAGCAAUAACGCUAUACGAGGUGCUGCAUGGUUGUCGUCAGCUCGUGCCGUGAGGUGUCAGGUUAAGUCCUAUAACGAGCGCAACCCCUACACAUAGUUACCAACACGUAAAGGUGGGGACUCUA
RNAcentral lists this ribosomal RNA (1086 nucleotides) under uncultured bacterium. Its description in RNAcentral is "bacterial SSU rRNA". It matches the Rfam family "Bacterial small subunit ribosomal RNA", at positions 64 to 1142 of the family's 1533-position model. The record is from RNAcentral.